AAGUCGUAACAAGGUUUCCGUAGGUGAACCUGCGGAAGGAUCAUUAACACGUAUCCAACGUUAAACAACCCUGUGAACUUUCAUGACUCUCGUAGCCCCGAGGAACAGCAAUCCCGGUAAAUCAAUUGACAGAAAAGUUUUGAUUCGGGACCUCUGUCCAAAAGGUUACGAUCGAGGGGAGCAGUGGCAUGGUUUCCCUAAGCUGUGUGAGGAUCCACAGAGUAAGGAUGACGCAUCUCGGUUGCCAGUCGAUCACCGGCUGGCAGGCAUGUCACAGGGCUAUACGCCCCUUCGUUCACC
The sequence is an unclassified non-coding RNA, 300 nucleotides long. The stretch from base 1 to 46 matches the Rfam family "Eukaryotic small subunit ribosomal RNA", at positions 1786 to 1831 of the family's 1831-position model.